AUUGAACGCUGGCGGCAGGCCUAACACAUGCAAGUCGAGCGGUAGAGAGGUGCUUGCAUCUCUUGAGAGCGGCGGACGGGUGAGUAAUGCCUAGGAAUCUGCCUAGUGGUGGGGGAUAACGUUCGGAAACGGACGCUAAUACCGCAUACGUCCUACGGGAGAAAGCGGGGGGAUCUUCGGACCUCGCGCCAUUAGAUGAGCCUAGGUCGGAUUAGCUAGUUGGUGAGGUAAUGGCUCACCAAGGCGACGAUCCGUAACUGGUCUGAGAGGAUGAUCAGUCACACUGGAACUGAGACACGGUCCAGACUCCUACGGGAGGCAGCAGUGGGGAAUAUUGGACAAUGGGCGAAAGCCUGAUCCAGCCAUGCCGCGUGUGUGAAGAAGGUCUUCGGAUUGUAAAGCACUUUAAGUUGGGAGGAAGGGCAGUAAGUUAAUACCUUGCUGUUUUGACGUUACAAC
This 459-nucleotide ribosomal RNA is filed under the name uncultured bacterium. RNAcentral's name for it is "bacterial SSU rRNA". It matches the Rfam family "Bacterial small subunit ribosomal RNA", at positions 30 to 482 of the family's 1533-position model. The record is from RNAcentral.